RNAcentral lists this long non-coding RNA (1086 nucleotides) under Oncorhynchus kisutch (coho salmon). RNAcentral describes it as "lncRNA (ENSOKIG00005018860.1)". The record is from RNAcentral. Lineage: Eukaryota; Metazoa; Chordata; Actinopteri; Salmoniformes; Salmonidae.
UCCAUAUGAAUGCCCAUGAUUCUGGAGUGAGAUGUUCGACGAGCAGUAUGUAUGCGUGUCCACAUACUUUUGGUCAUGUAGUGUGUGUUACAGGUAAGAUACCAAACCACCUGGUGUUCAGCAAGAUAUAAAGCUUCAUUUACAGCGGUUGUCCACACGGUAGAUAAUAUGUGCACAGCAUGUUGCUAAUAUGAAGCCACUUAGUUACCACUUAUGUUCAUGUAGACCGUAAGUAUUUAGCUAGUUCGCCUAGUCUUUGGUUCUCGACGAGAAAGAUCCACAAGUAGUCGACAGGAAUUAAACCAUUUUUUUAAAGUGUAAUUUCACGUAAUUAUCUGGUUGAUAGUUUUCCACCUUCCUCGUAGUUCAACAACUCCUCUACAUGUGACCGACUAAUAUAGGCGACAAUGUAAUCAUUUAUUAUCAGCGUAUAUUUCACCAAUCAUUAGCCUAAUAUAGCAAAUAACUACGUUAAGAACGCCGAAAACAUGGUUUCGAGUAGCCUAACGGUGGCUCAUUCCCUAAUGUUAGCUAGCUGGAACCCUGUAGCAAUAACGUUAUUGACGUUGGGUCAUACUUGCGCCACCUCUCCCAGUCGAAAAUAUAACGAGGUUGCUAGCCAAGUAGCGUUACUUCAAAUUACUUUUACUUACCUCCUUCAAUUAACAAUAUCCACGUUUCAAUGUUUUGUUUUCACAAAAGAAAGGAAAAUAACAUCCACCUUGAAUUUGUAACGUUAUGCGCUUCUGUUUUGCCCGUGUUUCACAAAAGAAAGGAAAAUAACAUCCACCUUGAAUUUGUAACGUUAUGCGCUUCUGUUUUGCCCGUGUUUCACCAGGCUUCUGUUGCUCUACUACUACUCACUCCGCAGACUGCCCCUUGUACCUAUGUCUAUUGCCGCGUUCACUUACUAGUCGAGACUAGGAACACUCGGACAUUUCCGACUUGCUAUAAGUGCUGAAACGCGACACGUGUAUACAGCAACUACAACCAGUUAGCAAGUCUGAAGUUUCCUUGUUCUGACUAGCAAGUGAACGCGGCAUGUGGUCUGAACUCGGGAGAUUACGUGGCAAACUGCAAUAGAGC